RNAcentral lists this long non-coding RNA (821 nucleotides) under Androctonus crassicauda. The record is from RNAcentral. Lineage: Eukaryota; Metazoa; Arthropoda; Arachnida; Scorpiones; Buthidae.
AAUAAUUAUAUUUGAGUGAAAAGUGGAUGAAAUGCUAUCCUGAAGGAAUGUGCUAAAAUUUUUUUAUAUUUAAGAAUAAUUUUGUUCAUUUAGAAGCAACUUUCAUGAAUAUAUUAUUCAUAAUUAUAAGUAAGAUUACAUUAAUUAAACUAAUACAAACAUCUGAAUGGGCCCUCAACUUACAGCAAAUUCAUAUUUAUGAUUAUAAUUAUUCAUGAUUUCAUAUUUAUUAUAGCUGUAAUCAAUGGUUUUGCAAUAAUGGUGGCCAUAUUGGCCUACACUGCUACUUCAGUUAGCUGUUGUUUCAAUUCAAGAAUGUUUUAUGAAAUAUCUUAAUGAUAUUGCAUAUCAUAAAAAAAUUACUUUAAAAAAACAAUUUGAAGUUUUCAUCAGCCAGAGAUCCCACGUGGUAAAGCAAUGCAUACCAUUUGAAGGAGUUUUUAAUUUUCAGGCCAUAUCUGCAAAUUUUUCAGGAGCUGUCUUUAUGCCUGGUAUGCUAAAUCCCCAUUGGCUCACCCUGUCAGGAUGAACCAAUGAGGAGCCAUGAUCUGAAAUAUCUACAACCAUAUGCAAGAUUAAUGGCUGCAUAAUUGAACAAAUCAAUUAACCAAAAAAUAUUUCCUUCCUGCAUAUAUAGGAAAAAAAUUGAAAAUGACUAUUUGUCAUAUGUCUAUAACUCAUGAAAAUGAUUAAAAUAAAAUCAGAUGCUACAGUUAAUGUAAUAUAAUCAAGAAAGUCAUUUUCUCAUAUUAUACUCUAUUAAAUAAAUUUAUAACCAUGCAAAACUAAUAACGUUCAAUAUAUAUAAACCCAGCAAAAAU